RNAcentral lists this ribosomal RNA (654 nucleotides) under Salmonella enterica. RNAcentral describes it as "partial 23S ribosomal RNA". It matches the Rfam family "Bacterial large subunit ribosomal RNA", at positions 1 to 688 of the family's 2925-position model. The record is from RNAcentral. RNAcentral also lists the same sequence under 3 other names. Lineage: Bacteria; Pseudomonadati; Pseudomonadota; Gammaproteobacteria; Enterobacterales; Enterobacteriaceae.
GGGUUGUGAGGUUAAGCGACUAAGCGUACACGGUGGAUGCCCUGGCAGUCAGAGGCGAUGAAGGGCGUGCUAAUCUGCGAUAAGCGCCGGUAAGGUGAUAUGAACCGUUAUAACCGGCGAUACCCGAAUGGGGAAACCCAGUGUGAUUCGUCACACUAUCAUUAACUGAAUCCAUAGGUUAAUGAGGCGAACCGGGGGAACUGAAACAUCUAAGUACCCCGAGGAAAAGAAAUCAACCGAGAUUCCCCCAGUAGCGGCGAGCGAACGGGGAGGAGCCCAGAGCCUGAAUCAGCAUGUGUGUUAGUGGAAGCGUCUGGAAAGGCGCGCGAUACAGGGUGACAGCCCCGUACACAAAAGCGCAUGUGCUGUGAGCUCGAUGAGUAGGGCGGGACACGUGGUAUCCUGUCUGAAUAUGGGGGGACCAUCCUCCAAGGCUAAAUACUCCUGACUGACCGAUAGUGAACCAGUACCGUGAGGGAAAGGCGAAAAGAACCCCGGCGAGGGGAGUGAAAAAGAACCUGAAACCGUGUACGUACAAGCAGUGGGAGCACCCUUCGGGGUGUGACUGCGUACCUUUUGUAUAAUGGGUCAGCGACUUAUAUUCUGUAGCAAGGUUAACCGUAUAGGGGAGCCGGAGGGAAACCGAGUCUUAAC